CCUACGGGAGGCAGCAGUCGAGAAUCAUUCACAAUGGGGGAAACCCUGAUGGUGCGACGCCGCGUGGGGGAAUGAAGGUCUUCGGAUUGUAAACCCCUGUCAUGUGGGAGCAAAUAAAAAAGAUAGUACCACAAGAGGAAGAGACGGCUAACUCUUUGCCAGCAGCCGCGGUAAUCCAGAGGUCUCAAGCGUUGUUCGGAAUCACUGGGCGUAAAGCGUGCGUAGGCUGUUGCGUAAGUCGUGUGUGAAAGGCGCGGGCUCAACCCGCGGACGGCACAUGAUACUGCGAGACUAGAGUAAUGGAGGGGGAACCGGAAUUCUCGGUGUAGCAGUGAAAUGCGUAGAUAUCGAGAGGAACACUCGUGGCGAAGGCGGGUUCCUGGACAUUAACUGACGCUGAGGCACGAAGGCCAGGGGAGCGAAAGGGAUUAGAUACCCCAGUAGUC
RNAcentral lists this ribosomal RNA (446 nucleotides) under uncultured bacterium. RNAcentral's name for it is "partial 16S ribosomal RNA". It matches the Rfam family "Bacterial small subunit ribosomal RNA", at positions 338 to 795 of the family's 1533-position model. The record is from RNAcentral.